UUCGCCUUGUGCCAGCAGCCGCGGUAAUACGUAGGGUGUGAGCGUUGUCCGGAUUUAUUGGGCGUAAAGGGCUCGUAGGUGGUUGAUCGCGUCGGAAGUGUAAUCUUGGGGCUUAACCCUGAGCGUGCUUUCGAUACGGGUUGACUUGAGGAAGGUAGGGGAGAAUGGAAUUCCUGGUGGAGCGGUGGAAUGCGCAGAUAUCAGGAGGAACACCAGUGGCGAAGGCGGUUCUCUGGGCCUUUCCUGACGCUGAGGAGCGAAAGCGUGGGGAGCGAACAGGCUUAGAUACCCUGGUAGUCCACGCUGUAAACGGUGGGUACUAGGUGUGGGGUCCAUUCCACGGGUUCCGUGCCGUAGCUAACGCUUUAAGUACCCCGCCUGGGGAGUACGGCCGCAAGGCUAAAACUCAAAGGAAUUGACGGGGCCCCGCACAAGCGGCGGAGCAUGCGGAUUAAUUCGAUGCAACGCGUAGAACCUUACCUGGGUUUGACAUGGAUCGGGAGUGCUCAGAGAUGGGUGUGCCUCUUUUGGGGUCGGUUCACAGGUGGUGCAUGGCUGUCGUCAGCUCGUGUCGUGAGAUGUUGGGUUAAGUCCCGCAACGAGCGCAACCCUUGUUCACUGUUGCCAGCACGUUAUGGUGGGGACUCAGUGGAGACCGCCGGGGUCAACUCGGAGGGAGGUGGGGAUGACGUCAAGUCAUCAUGCCCCUUAUGUCCAGGGCUUCACGCAUGCUACAUGGCUGGUACAGAGAGUGCGGAGCCUUGUGAGGGUGAGCGAAUCUCGGAAAGCCGGUCUCAGUUCGGAUUUGGGGUCUGCAACUCGACCUUCAUG
RNAcentral lists this ribosomal RNA (831 nucleotides) under uncultured bacterium. Its description in RNAcentral is "bacterial SSU rRNA". It matches the Rfam family "Bacterial small subunit ribosomal RNA", at positions 497 to 1322 of the family's 1533-position model. The record is from RNAcentral.